AUGCUCGCUUCGACAGCACAUUAUACUAAAAUUGGAACGAUACAGAGAAGAUUAGCAUGGCCCCUGCAUAAGGAUGACAGAAAGAAAAAAAAAAAUUCUCUGAGUCUC
Small nuclear RNA from Delphinapterus leucas (beluga whale), 108 nucleotides. The record is from Ensembl. NCBI's taxonomy places the organism in Eukaryota, Metazoa, Chordata, Mammalia, Artiodactyla, Monodontidae.